Molecule: ribosomal RNA, 253 nt
Filed under: uncultured bacterium
Lineage: Bacteria
Description: partial 16S ribosomal RNA
Rfam family: Bacterial small subunit ribosomal RNA
Source: RNAcentral
UACGUAGGGUGCGAGCGUUAAUCGGAAUUACUGGGCGUAAAGCGUGCGCAGGCGGCUUUGCAAGACAGAUGUGAAAUCCACGGGCUCAACCUGGGAACUGCAUUUGUGACUGCAAGGCUAGAGUACGGCAGAGGGGGAUGGAAUUCCGCGUGUAGCAGUGAAAUGCGUAGAUAUGCGGAGGAACACCAAUGGCGAAGGCAAUCCCCUGGGCCUGUACUGACGCUCAUGCACGAAAGCGUGGGGAGCAAACAGG